RNAcentral lists this ribosomal RNA (253 nucleotides) under uncultured bacterium. RNAcentral's name for it is "partial 16S ribosomal RNA". It matches the Rfam family "Bacterial small subunit ribosomal RNA", at positions 524 to 776 of the family's 1533-position model. The record is from RNAcentral.
UACGUAGGGUGCAAGCGUUAAUCGGAAUUACUGGGCGUAAAGCGUGCGCAGGCGGUUUUGUAAGUCUGUCGUGAAAUCCCCGGGCUCAACCUGGGAAUUGCGAUGGAGACUGCAAGGCUAGAAUCUGGCAGAGGGGGGUAGAAUUCCACGUGUAGCAGUGAAAUGCGUAGAGAUGUGGAGGAACGCCGAUGGCGAAGGCAGCCCCCUGGGUCAAGAUUGACGCUCAUGCACGAAAGCGUGGGGAGCAAACAGG